This 447-nucleotide ribosomal RNA is filed under the name uncultured bacterium. Its description in RNAcentral is "partial 16S ribosomal RNA". It matches the Rfam family "Bacterial small subunit ribosomal RNA", at positions 331 to 792 of the family's 1533-position model. The record is from RNAcentral.
CCAGACUCCUACGGGAGGCAGCAGUGGGGAAUAUUGGGCAAUGGGCGCAAGCCUGACCCAGCAACGCCGCGUGAAGGAAGAAGGCUUUCGGGUUGUAAACUUCUUUUGUCAGGGACGAAGCAAGUGACGGUACCUGACGAAUAAGCCACGGCUAACUACGUGCCAGCAGCCGCGGUAAUACGUAGGUGGCAAGCGUUAUCCGGAUUUACUGGGUGUAAAGGGCGUGUAGGCGGGACUGCAAGUCAGAUGUGAAAACCACGGGCUCAACCUGUAGCCUGCAUUUGAAACUGUAGUUCUUGAGUACUGGAGAGGCAGACGGAAUUCCUAGUGUAGCGGUGAAAUGCGUAGAUAUUAGGAGGAACACCAGUGGCGAAGGCGGUCUGCUGGACAGAAACUGACGCUGAGGCGCGAAAGCGUGGGGAGCAAACAGGAUUAGAUACCCCGGUA